CCAAUAGCGUAUAUUAAAGUUGUUGCAGUUAAAAAGCUCGUAGUUGAACUUCGGGGUUUACCCAUUGGUCAGGCUUAAUUGUCUGUACUGGUGAGAUAAAUCUCUACCUUCUGAGGAACUUUCAUGCCAUUUAUUUGGUGUGAUGGGAAAUCAGGACUGUUACUUUGAAAAAAUUAGAGUGUUUAAAGCAGGCUAACGUCUGAAUACAUUAGCAUGGAAUAAUGAAAUAGGACGGACUGAUUCUAUUUCGUUGGUUUCUAGGAUCACCGUAAUGAUUAAUAGGGAUAGUUGGGGGCAUUAGUAUUCAAUUGUCAGAGGUGAAAUUCUUGGAUUUAUUGAAGACUAACUACUGCGAAAGCAUUUGCCAAGGAUGUUUUCAUUAAUCAAGAACGAAAGUUAGGGGAUCGAAGACGAUCAGAUACCGUCGUAGUCUUAACCAUAAACUAUGCCGACUAGGGAUCGGAUGAUGUUAAUUUUUUAAUGACUCAUUCGGCGCCUUACG
This 502-nucleotide ribosomal RNA is filed under the name uncultured Diversispora. RNAcentral describes it as "SSU rRNA". It matches the Rfam family "Eukaryotic small subunit ribosomal RNA", at positions 591 to 1092 of the family's 1831-position model. Lineage: Eukaryota; Fungi; Glomeromycota; Glomeromycetes; Diversisporales; Diversisporaceae. The record is from RNAcentral.